CAUUAUUGAUUUCAAUAUAGUGUUAUUCAAUUAAAUGAGACAGAGUCCGGCUGGGAACCUCGAAAUUGAACUUCAACCACGACCCACCAACUCAAAUCCAAACCAAAUAGAAUUCCACCAACGACAGUGAAUACCCAGGACCAACAGCCAGACAGAUUUCAAACCCAAAAAUAAUGACCUCGAUAUGAAAACCAAGAUCCGAACCCAAAACGACGACUGAUGAAACUCAAAAUCCAGUUUCAAUUUUGAAUCACCAAAAUAGACGAACCCAAGCUACAAAAAUCUGAUAAAAAACUAAGCACCCGCAUGACUUGAACUUCGGUGAGCUAACAGUGCCCAAAAUAGACAAAAGUAGGUCGGAUUUUGGAGAGUUUGAAUAUUUUCUAAAUGGGGUCUCUCGAAAACUUUUGAAAAUGAACUAUUCUUGUGAUAUUCUUGUUUCCCUAUCGGACUCAUCCAUAAAUUAAUAGAGAAUGAUGAGAUUCCAGGAAAAUAGUUGCCAGAACAAUGAUCAAACCCACUGAAACCUAUUUUUGAGUAACAUGUAAUCAACACAGUUUUCUUCUCCAUUUCAGAUCUCGACUUCGAAUAUCUCUCUCUCUCUCGUGAAUCUCUCAGUGUGUAUAUCCCCUGUUGUGCAUGUGUUCAACAGGUGUAUAUAGUAGCUCUAUGUGUAUCUCCUAUGUGGAGAAGAAAAGGAAAGUUGGGGUCUCUCUGUAUUUCUAUUUAUGUAUGUGAGGAUGAUGAUGAUCUCCUUUUAUUAAUAAUGGUGUGUUUAGAAGAAAAAAAGAGAUGGACCGUGUUCCAUUCUUUUUUCAUCAAUUGAAAAUAUUGAUUCAUGAUGUAGUGGGUACUGUGUGUAGCGCGUGAGCAUGAAAAUGACGGUGGGUCUGUGAAUUGUCAGCCCCCCUGUGAGUGAGAAUUGUUUUCUUUUUUAAUUAUUCUAUGGGCCCUUGAAAGUCUCUAUCCAAAAAUGGAAGAAUUUUUUUUAUCCCCUCUCUGUUAAAUGAUAAUUAAAAUAUAAAGGGAAGGGGGCACAUGGGGUAAGUGGUUAGGUGGGGUAUGUGAGGUUUUAAAAUUUAAUAGGGAGGGGUUGUUAGAAUAAGAUAAAAUUAGUUAGGGGUUGUUAUUUUUGUAUUUUUGUGGGAUAUAAUCACAUGGCUGAGGGCACGCAGUAAGACGGAGGUAAAAUGGUAAAAAUAUUUUUGGGGAGAGACAAAAUUAGAUGUUUACAUCAUGCCCCAUUUGAAUGUAAAAACAAAGUGUUUUCAGGUAAAGAAGUAGACAACAAGACCAAAUUUUGACCCGACCCAUAUUUAAGGAGAGAAACAGAAAGAAGAAGAGAUACUAGAUCUUGACUUAGGACAUUCUACCUACCCAAUUUAUGAAGGAAUCAAUUGACACGCACCUCAAAGGGUUGGAAAGAGAAGGACUAUGCUAAGUUGGAGAGUCGAGUGAGGUUCCAUCGAGGUUUCGGUCCGCUGCUCUAUCAAUACAUCAAAACGAAAAUUACAAGUUGAAAAAUAAAUAAAAUUACAAAAUCCUAUCUAUGCAGCUUUUUUGGACUCUUGGAUUGAGUUUCAUCACCCUAUUCUUCAGGCGGGCUCCUGACUUGCAAUUUCUUCAACUUGUUGCUUGACUUUCAAUUUCCUCACCCUGUUCAGGUGGGCUCCUGACUUGCAAUUUUUUAAUUUGUUGAAUUUCAAUUUCUUCACCUUGUUGCUUGACUUUUAACUUCCUCACCUUGUUGCUUGACUUUUCAUUUAUUAGCCCUGUUUUUUAGGUGGGCUCUUGAAAUCACAUCAAAACUAAAAAGAAACUUAUCCCACACAAAGAAAUGCAUCUUUUAUGAGUUAAUUGGAAUGAUUCGACUAAAAGGUAUGUCUUAUAGGAGUCAAGGGGAAUGACUCGACUAAAAGAUAAGUCUUACACGAAUCACAGGGAAUAACUCAACUAAAAUGUACAUCUUCUAGGGGUCAAGGGGAAUGACUCGACUAAAAGGUACGUCUUCUAGGGGUCAAGGGGAAUGACUCAACUAAAAGGUACAUCUUAUAAGAAUCAAGGUGGAUGACUCGACUAAAAGGUACGUCUUCUAGGGGUCAAGGGGAAUGACUCGACUAAAAGGUACAUCUUCUAGGGGUCAAAGGGAAUGACUCGACUAAAAGGUACCUCUUCUUGGGAUCAGAGAGAAUGACUCGACUAAAAGGUACGUCUUAUAGUAAUCAAGGGAAAUAACUCGACUAAAAGGUACGUCUUAUAGGAAUCAAGGGCUAUGACUCAACUAAAAGGUAUGUCUUAUAGGAAUCAAGGGGGAUGACUCGACUAAAAGGUACGUAUUAUAGGAAUCAAAGGGGAUGACUCAUCUAAAAGGUAUGUAUUAUAGGAAUCAAAGGGGAAGACUCAACUAAAAGGCACGUCUUCUAGGGAUCAGAGGGAUUGACUUGACUAAAAGGUACUUCUCAUAGUAAACAAGGAAAAUGUCUCGACUAAAAGGUACAUCUUAUAGAAAUCAAAGAAGAAUGACUCGACUAAAAGGUACUUCUUAUAGGAAGGGAGAUGACUCGACUAAAAGGUAUGUCUUACUAGGAAUCAAGGGAGAUGACUCGACUAAAAGGUACGUCUUAUAGGAAUCAAAGGGAAUGACUCGAUUAAAAGGUACGUCUUUUAAAAGCCAAAGGGAAUGACUUGACGAAAAGGUACAUCUUAUAGGAAUCAAAGGGAAUGACUUGACCAAAAGGUACGUCUUAUAGGAAUCAAAGGAGAUGACUCGACUAAACGGUACGUCUUAUAGGAAUCAAAGGGGAUGACUCGACUAAAAGGUACAUCUUAUCAAGAUCAAAGGAAAUGACUUGACCAAAAGGUACGUCUUCUAGGAAUCGAAGGGGAAUGACUCAACUAAAAGGUACGUCUUAUAAGAAUCAAAGAGAAUGACUUGACUAAAAGGUAUGUCUUCUAAGGGUCAAGGGGAUGACUCGACUAAAAGGUACAUCUUAUAGGAAUCAAAGGGGAUGACUCGACUAAAAGGUACAUCUUAUAGGAAUCAAGAGAAAUAACUCGACUAAAGGUACAUAUUGUAGAAAUCAAAGAGAAUGACUCGACUAAAAGGUACGUCUUAUAGGAAUCAAAGGGAAUGACUCAACUAAAAGGUAAAUCUUAUAGGAAUCAAAGGGGAUGAAUCGACUAAAAGGUACGUCUUCUAGGUGUCAAGGGUAAUGACUCGACUAAAAGGUACGUCUUAUAGGAAUCUAAGGGAAUGAUUCAACUAAAAGGUACGUCUUCUAGGGUCAAGGAAGAUGACUUGACUAAAAGGUACGUCUUAUAGGAAUCAAGGGAGAUGACUAAACUAAAAGGUAUGUCUUAUAGGAAUCAAAGGAAAUGACUCGACUAAAAGGUAUGUCUUAUAGGAAUCAAAGGGAAUGACUCAAAUAAAAGGUACGUCUUCUAGGGGUGAAGGGGAAUGACUCAACUAAAAGGAACGUCUUAUAGGAAUCAAAGGAAUGACUCGACUAAAAGGUACGUCUUAUAGAAAUCAAAGGGAAUGAAUCGACUAAAAGGUAUGUCUUCUAGGGGUCAAGGGGAAUUACUCGACUAAAAGGUACGUCUUAUAGGAGUCAAAGGAACGACUCGACUAAAAGGUACGUCUUCUAGGAGUAAAGUUUUAAUUUAAGAAGUUUAUCACCCAGCAAAUGAAAACUGAAAUCCCUGGAAAAGAAAGUGUGUCUCCGAGGGAUAUAAGAUGAUUAAAUUUACCAUGAUUUGACUCUCAAACCUGUGCAGCAACAUUGCUUCCUGCAUUUGUAAAAGUAAGGCAUUGCAACCCUUGAUAUUUAUGCUCUGAAGUCCUUACUUUGAAGGUAAUAUGUUUCCUAUUUCAUCAAAGAAAACUUGUGAGUUUAAAACAUGGUGGAUGGUUUGUGGCUUUAGCUUUCAUAGAAAUCGCUCCUGCCCCUGUCACAUUUAAUCUUGCUUUCAACCAUUAGCAUGUGCCACUGACUUGCUGCAUCAUUGACCCGAACUCAGAUUAUUAAGAGUGACUUUGAAACAAAUACAAUAUCUUUUCUUUGUAAUGCUUCUCAGAUAAAUCCUUUGAACCUUGGUAUUUUCAUGAGUUCCCAGACUUGUCGAUUGACAAAAAUCUUGCAUGCCUUAUUUUGGCUCACAAUUAUGUCUCUUUCAUAUGUUGUCCUUUUGUAUUUCUUUGCACAAUUGAAGAAGCUGGUAGCCAGUUUUGAAAUCUUUUUUGACUUGUUUUGACAUGGACUUGACUCAAUGACAAGAGAAAAAAUGACAAUGAUUUUUAUUUGGAUAACUGACUAAAGAAAAUAAAACAAAAAUAAAGAAAAGAAAGGAAAGACAAUGAAUAUCCGUAUUUGAAACAAAGAAACAAAAAAUUAAUCGAAAAAUGACAGUCUACUCUAAUUAUUAUUCCAUGCAUUUUGAAUUAAGUAGCCUGAUUUUUUCAUCCAAACUUUCAACCAAUUGUUGUUGAGCUAAUGGCCUUGAAACUGAGUUUCUUCCUUAAGUCAAUUGUAUUUAAGACCCCAUUCGGCUAGUGGUGCCUUGAAGGGUUUUCACCUACAAGCUUUUCUCAUUUUUUUUUCCUCAGCUCACUAUUUCCUUAUGGUGUCUAUAAGGGUUUUCCACUAAUGAGACUCUCUUAUCUUCGUUUCCCUUAACUCACAGUCGUCUUAUGGUGCCCGUGAGAGUUUUCACUAAUAAGACUCUCUUAUUUUUAUCUCUCUCAACUUACUAUCAUCUUACGGUGCCCGUGAGGGUUUUCACCAAUAAGACUCUCUCAUUUUUAUUUCUCUCCUGAUUUCUUAUGUCGAAGAAGACAAGUAGUUCCCAAAUGCAUCAUUAUAUCCCUUGCAUGCUUAGCCUUAACAUCCUCAAAGAUUGAUCUAAAGGUCUUUCUUUGGUUGUAACUUGGCUUUUGGAUAGGGUUAGAAAGAAAGGAUGGCAUGGGGCCCAAACGACACUUGAAGUAGGGUAGGACUUACAACUUUUCAAAUCGACUCAAACAAUGAGAAUUAACUCAUGCUCCAGUUUCUUUUGACUGGGUGACUCUAAAUUAUUUAUUUGGUUAGACCGAGCCCGGAGUAGGGCAGCCUAUGUAUCUCACCCCCAAGAGAGGAGAAUCAGGUCAUGCAUAGUUCUGGCAGAUUGUUCUUUUGCUUGAUUCUGAUUUUUUUUUUCUUUUAUUGACUUUUUUUUUCUUUUUGGGACCUUCUGACUCUAUUUUUUUCUUGACGUACUUUUUUUUUCUUCUUUUGGACACAUUUUUUCUCUCAUUUCUUUUUGAAACUUUCUGACUCUAUUGUUUUGCUCGACACUUUGCUUUUGAGCUUUGCUGACUCUAUCUUGAUUCUAAAAGAGGGGUAUGAAAGAAAAUAGGACUAAAUCUCAAAUAGGGUAAACAAAGGAUGACACGAUGUUUGGAUAGCAUAAUGAAAUGCCUUCGUCAUAUCAAUCCUUGAAAAUGCAAGCACAUAACAUGCAAUUUGAAAGUUGUAGAUGAAGAUCAUGUGCGACAUCUUUUACAAUAUUAACUUUGACUGAGUCUGUGCGUCACUACUUCUUCUGCACUUUUCUAGCAUACAACUCCACUUUUGUUGUACAUUUCUUACAUUGAAUGACUCAUGAUUUCAUGGAGAUGAUUUUCUUUCUGUUCCUCUUGAUAUAGGAUCACGCAUCCACUGUUUGACCUAAUUGAGGCAUGCCUUACAAUUGAUGACCAAGUUAUUCUGGAGAUUCUUAAAGCAAUUACCUAAAUUUUGAAAGAAGGUUUCAACAUGGUCACCAAAUGUCUUAACACGCUACCUAUUUAUCACAUGCUUUUUCUAACUUUAGCCCUGUGAUUCAAAGUUCAUGGUCAAAUUGGAUUUUAAGAUCUAGCGAAGAAUUCCGCCAACAUGUCAUAUCACUAAAGCCAACAUAAAAUGUACUAUGUAAAGAAAACAAACAAAUAACAUAUAUUUAAACACAAAGGAAAAAGGGACACUUUAUUUAGUUGAAAUAAAAUAUAGAAAAGGUUUGAACAUAAACGACAAAAGAGACAAAACAAGAUAGAUCCUGAACUACCACCCUGAAAUAAUUUGGAUAACAGAAAAAAAAAAAAAAAACUAUCAGACCUCUUCCUAGUAGGGAGAGGGGUGACUUCUCAAUUGCUCAGCCUGACAUAUUAGCCACUGAUUUGCAUAUUAUCAUGACAAGAGCUUCCACCACUGUUAGAAAUAUUUCCUUCAACAAAUAAGUUCUAGAUCUCCAUGCUUAACUCAUUGCCUCCCACAUAUUGUACAGUACCGCAUGCCGGUGAAGAACUCUGUGGGAUGGUCGAGGGGCCAAUGUUUUGCACCAUAAUCAAUUUAUCUUGAAUCAUCUUUUCUAUUUCUCUUUUCAAAGUACGACAAUCUUCAGUACUAUAACCCUAAACAUCAGAAUGAUAUGCACACCAUACAUUAGGAUCAAAAUUUAUUGUAUGUGGGUUAGGUAUAUACCCAAGGAAAGAAGUAAUCAUGCUCCUAUGUCUCAAUCUCUGGAAUAAACUGGCAUAGGACUCCCCAAUAGGAGUGAAAUUAUCCUUUUCCUUCCUCCUCUUUGUGAACUCUGGCCUCGGAUGAAACUUAAAUUUAGAGGUUCCUUGGUAAAUUAAUGGGGGUCGAGGAUGAUGUUGAGGGACAGGUGCAUGCCAUUGUGGAUAAGAGACAGAUGGGUACACAAUUGUGCAUUGUUCAAAGGACAUUGAGGAAGUGGAAUGGACCUCCUUGUAAUUUGAAAAGAGAAACCUUAUUGCAGAUGAAUAAGUGGAUUUGAUAUGUAAGCUCGGGAUUAAGGCUGAGUUGGACCUCUUAAACUCUGCUUUGGCCCAGACAUGACAACAGAUGCGUUUUCUUUUUUUUUCCUUUAGUUUCCCUUGAAUGAUUGCAAGAUUGUCCCAAAUGUUUCACAGAAUUAUUCUGUCCACCAAGCUCCUCAAAUUUUGAUGUCUUAAAGCUUGGAGGAAGGUUAACACUUGAAAACAUGCCCCAGUUUUAAUAUGAAACAUCUUCAUAGCCCACAAGUCCCAAGGAACUUUUCAUAUCAUUUUUCACACUCUUAACAUUCCCAACCAUUUUCUCUGGGUCUUCUAGCAUGCUAGGCUUCUUAGUAAGAAAUUUUGGUGGUCCACUUAACUUAACUGUAGGCCCAAGAGUAUAACAAUGAUCAUCAAGAGUAUUGAACAUGGAUUCACUAAUGAACUAGGGAAGCAUAAUUGUUGGAUUGAUAGACAAAGUGGAAGCAUUAGUGAAGCUUGAUCAACAAAAGCACAAAUAAUAUGUGGUGAUGUGAAUAUGGUAGACUUAUACUAAGGAGAUAAAGAAAGAGUGGUGGAAAUAUUAAGGUGCAUUUGAUGUGGAAUAGAUUCUGCGGCAUACUGUGGUGCAUCAACUAUAGUAGGAAACUAACUUUGUGAUUUUGGUGGAAGACUCAAGGUAUUUGCAAGGUCAAAAAUGGGGAACUGAGGUGGAGGCAGCUCACUGGCCCAAGCUCAGUACAUUUCCAUCAUUUGUUGUCUCAGUCUCAAAUUCUCUUCCUUUAAACUCUCAAUUUCCUGACUCUUUGUUUCAUCCAUUGUGCCACUCUCUAUAUCCUUGUUGGGCACAACUAAACCUUCCUUGGAUUUGGUGUGAUAUGGAGGACUAGCCAGGAAGCCACAAACCAACCACCUUAAACUAACUGAACAAGAGGCAACAAAUAUGUUAGAGUUCAACAUUUAUCAAAACCUCUCUUUUUUUUAUCUUAUUUUUUUGAAAAGAUCACCAAACCCAAUAAGGGCGCCUACGUAUCUCACCCCCGAGAGGGGAGAAUCGGGUGGGCAUAGUUCAUGAAGUCUAACCAAAAUAGUCAAUUAAACUCUUUUUCUUUUCUUUUUUCUUGGAACUUUAAGAAGAAAAGAAAAUAACAAAUUACCAAAAGAAUUGGGGAAAAUCUGUUUUGUGUUUUUCAGAUUUAAAUUCCCUAGACAAAAUGAAACCUAUGACAACCAAAGAAAAAUCUCUUUUUGAAAUUUUCGAUUCUAAAUUUCAUAUGAAAAUGAAACUUGAAACUAUUAAAGGAAAUUUUUUUUGUGGUUUUCUUUUCGAAGAUGUAUAUGACACACCUACUCUAAAUGAAGAGUGAAGCAAAUCCUUUUUGGAUUUUUUUUGCAUAUUCCUAUAAAAAAUAAAACCUAUGAUUACCAGAGAAAAUCUUUUUGGGUUUUCAAUUUCGAAUUUCAUAUGAAAAUGAAAAUUGAAACUAUUAAAGAAAAAUCUUUUUGCAUUUUUCUUUUAAAGAAAUAUAUGACACCUACUCUAAUAAAGAGUGAAGAAAAUCUUUUUUUUUUUAAUUUUUCAAAUAAGGUCCCCGAACCAACAAUAGGCUGCCUAAAUAUCUCACUCCCGAGAGAGGAAAAUCAAGGUUGAGUAGUUCAUCCAAAUUGGACAAUUAAUGAUUAAAUCACAGAUUGCACCCUGACUUGAGACACGACCAAAGACACACGAUAAACAACAUACCAAAAUCUUUUUUUUUUUUGAGUUUUCAAUUUGACACUUCACAUAAAAAAUGACACCAACAGCUAUGAAAGAAAAUCUUUUUGGUGUUUUCUUUAUAUAAAAUGUGCGAAACUUCUACUAUAUUUUUAGCAUUUUUUUCUUUAUAAAAAUACUCCAAUUAAAAAAAAAAAAAUUUUGAAAUUUUCGAAUUAUGAAUGUAUGGUAAAGGAACAAAAGGAAAAUCUUUUUUAUGUUUUUGAGAAAAAUGAGUGCGAAAGGUAAAAAAAUCAUUUUGAAUUUUUGGAUUGUGGAAAACAAAAGCCAUAAAAAACUCUAAAAACUACGAAACCUACUUUUUUUUUCGACUCACUUUUUCUUUCUUUUUCCUCUCUUUUUUUUCAAUUUUUCCUUGCCUACACACUCAAAAAAAAUUUCAAUUUUUCCAUGCCUAUACACUUUCUUUAAUUCUAGCAUACGUUUUCCCCCAAAUUAAUCCAUCAAAUGACCAUAUUACCCUUAAAGAUGCAACAUUUAGCACGUAGAGAUGCUUUAGAGGUGAGUCUUCUACAAAGGGCCAUGUGGGUCCCGUUAGGUCUCAAUAUGAUGCAGAUAAGCAUAACCUAAAGGCUGACCUACGUUGAGGUUUACUAACAAGGCUGUUCGGGGGAUCAUAUGGCCGAUAGUGGCUAUUUUGCUUUCCACCCACUCCAUACGUCCGAAGGCUCCCCCUCCUAAAAUAAAGGUGACUCAACUAGAGUUUGUGUGCACGACGUGUACUCCAGGACUUGUUGCAGAAAGAAUGACUCGGGUUAUGCACAUGAUGCCAGAUAUAAAGCAGUAACACAUAUGAUAAAAACUAUAAAUAAAGAGCACGUAGGCACUCAAAAACAAUAAAUAAUAACACAAAACAGCACAAACAAAAUGUCUAUACACCUAUAAUACCAAACUAAGCCGAUACAACUCCAAAAAAUAAGCUCGAAUUUUGAAAAGUCUCCAGCAGAGUCGCCAGAGCUGUCACACCCUUUUUUUCACUCCAAAAAGAUUCAUUUCAAGUCUGAAAGGGUUUUAUUAUUAAGUGACAACAGAUGAAAAUUUGUUUCGAAAAUGGAUUAUUUACUUUUAAACUCAGAGUCGCCAAUUGGGAUAGACUGGUGUGCCAAUUCACCUUUGAAAAAUCCUUUUCAAAAUGAUUUGACUCUUGAAACUGGUUUGCGAACAGAGAUUCCGGUUAAGGAAUUCUGUUGACCGAGGGGAAGAUAUUAGGCACCCCUCGAUCCCGUGGUUCGACCACGAUUUCUUGGUAGAAUGAAUCAGCUAAUUUGGAAUUACGAUGUACAAACCACAUAGAAACAUGUAAAACAAUCAAACAAACAAACAAAACAAAACGAAUCCAAAAUAUAGUGUCCAGUCCGAGUCAUACAAUCCCGAAAUAGAAAAAUACGGAAAUGUAAAUCAUAAUCUAAACUAAUCCUAGACUAAGCUCCAAUGCCUCAUCCGAUGCCUCGGGCCUUCAUCACGAACGUCCUCCAGGUACAAGAUACUUUGGGGCAUUCCCUAGAUAAAUCAAUACAAAUCCCUCGAGGCAUUCCCUGGCUAAAUGAAUACAGUCGAUCCAAAUGCGGUAAACAAAACCUUUCAACACAAAAUCCAAACAUUCCACAAUCCACAAGUUCUAAAUUUUCCUAUCUGUGCCUACUGUUUGCUUACCCAGCACGACCAAUCAUGGCACUAUUACAAUCAAUAACAUAAAUGAAUCAAAACGACAAUAUUAAUUUUUAUCAACUUUCAAUUCUCACCCCACUUUUAUUCUCAAAUUAUCGAUUUUAAUUCUCAAACAAGAUAUCAUUUCAUCGCACAACACAUAAAUAGUGAACCAACACCAAGUAAUUAUUCACCAUCAACAAAGAUCAAAAAACACGUAAACGUUCAAUCCAUAACACCAAAUAUCAUAAAGAGUGAAAUAAAAAGAGAGGGAGAAGAGAAUUGGACCUCAAUUAUCGAUUUCAAUGCAGUGUUAUUCAAUUAAACGAGACAGAGUCCAGCUGGGAACCUCGAAUUGAACUUCAACCAUGGCCUACCAACUCAAAUCCAAAUCGAAUGGAACUCCACCAAUGACAGUGAAUACCCAGGAUCAAUAGUCAGACAGAUUUCAAACCCAAAAAUAAAUACCACGAUAUGAAAACCAAGAUCCGAACCCAAAACGACAACUGAUGAAACUCAAAAUCUAGUUUUAAUUUUGAAUCACCAAAAUAGAUGAACCCAAGCUGCAAAAAUCUGAUAGAAAACUAAGUACCUGCACGACUUGAACUCCGGUGAGCUAACAGUUCCCAAAACAAAUGAAAGUAGAUCGGAUUCCGGAGAGUUUGAAUAUUUUCUAAAUGGGGUCGCUCGAAAACUUUUGAAAAUGGACUUUUCUGGCGAUAUUCUCAUUUUCCUAUCGGACUUGUCCAGAAAUCAACAGAGAACGAUAAGAUUCCGGCAAAAUAGUCACCGGAACAGUGACCAAACCCACUAAAACCCAUUUUCGAGUAACCCAAAAUCAACGUAGUUUUCUUCUCUAUUUCAGAUCUCGACUUCGAAUCUCUCUCUGUCAUGAAUCUCUCAGUAUCUAUAUCCCCUGCUGUGCGUGCAUUCAACAAGUGUAUAUAGUAGCUCUAUGUGUAUCUCCUAUGAGAAGAAAAGGAAGGUUGGGGUCUCUCUGUAUUUCUGUUUGUGUAUGUGAGGAGUAUGUUGAUCUCCUCCCAUUAAUGGCGGUGUGUUUAGAAGAAAAAAAAAGAUGGACCGUGUUCCAUGCUUUUUUCAUCAAUGGAGAAUAUCGAUUCAUGAUGUAGUGGGUACUGUGUGUAGCGCGUGAGUAUGAAAAUGAGGGUGGGUCUAUGAAUUGUCAGUCCCCCUGUGAGUGAGAAUUGUUUUAUUUUUUAAUUAUUUUAUGGGCCCUUGAAAGUGUCUAUCCCAAAAUGAAAGAAUUUUUUUCAUCCCCUCUCUGUUAAAUGAUAAUUAAAAUAUAAAUGGAAGGGAGGAAUGUGGGGUAGGUGGUGAGGUGGGAUAUGUGAGAUGUUAAUAUUUAAUAGGGAGGGGUUGUUAGAAUAAGAUAAAAUUAGUUAGGAGUUGUUAUUUUUGUAUUUUUGUGGGAUAUAAUCACAUGGGUGAGGGCACGCAGUAAGACGGAGGUAAAAUGGUAAAAAUAUUUUCGGGGAGGGACGAAAUUAGAUGUCUACAAUCAAUAAGGUUAGCUUUUUCUUCAAUAUUACUACGACAUUCCCAAGAGUAAUGUCCAAAUUUAUGACAAUUGUAGCACUCAAUUUCAGAUUUGUUAUACCUUAUUUCAUUGGUGCCUUGAUAAGAUCCACGUCCUCUUUCUCCCCGUUGUCUACGACCACGG
RNAcentral lists this long non-coding RNA (11895 nucleotides) under Capsicum annuum. RNAcentral describes it as "long non-coding RNA (CANN_LNC009411)". Lineage: Eukaryota; Viridiplantae; Streptophyta; Magnoliopsida; Solanales; Solanaceae. The record is from RNAcentral.